UACGGAGGGUGCGAGCGUUGUCCGGAAUCACUGGGCGUAAAGGGCGCGUAGGUGGCGCGAGGAGUCUGUGGUGAAAGCCCGAGGCUCAACUUCGGGUCGGCCGCGGAUACUCUCGUGCUGGAGGGUGGUAGAGGCCAAUGGAAUUCCGGGUGUAGCGGUGGAAUGCGUAGAGAUCCGGAAGAACACCGGUGGCGAAGGCGGUUGGCUGGGCCACACCUGACACUGAGGCGCGACAGCGUGGGGAGCAACAGG
This 252-nucleotide ribosomal RNA is filed under the name uncultured bacterium. RNAcentral describes it as "partial 16S ribosomal RNA". It matches the Rfam family "Bacterial small subunit ribosomal RNA", at positions 524 to 775 of the family's 1533-position model. The record is from RNAcentral.